This 88-nucleotide ribosomal RNA is filed under the name Salvator merianae (Argentine black and white tegu). The record is from RNAcentral. Lineage: Eukaryota; Metazoa; Chordata; Lepidosauria; Squamata; Teiidae.
ACCUUAAUUAAUAUCAAAAAGCUAAGAAGGGCCAGAUCCGGCUAGUACUUGGAUGGGAGACUACCAGGAGAUCCAGGGACUGUAGGUU